This 254-nucleotide ribosomal RNA is filed under the name uncultured bacterium. Its description in RNAcentral is "partial 16S ribosomal RNA". It matches the Rfam family "Bacterial small subunit ribosomal RNA", at positions 524 to 776 of the family's 1533-position model. The record is from RNAcentral.
UACGAAGGGGGGCUAGCGUUGCUCGGAAUCACUGGGCGUAAAGGGUGCGUAGGCGGGUCUUUAAGUCAGGGGUGAAAUCCUGGAGUUCAACUCCAGAACUGCCUUUGAUACUGAAGAUCUUGAGUUCGGGAGAGGUGAGUGGAACUGCGAGUGUAGAGGUGAAAUUCGUAGAUAUUCGCAAGAACACCAGUGGCGAAGGCGGCUCACUGGCCCGAUACUGACGCUGAGGCACGAAAGCGUGGGGAGCAAACAGG